Molecule: ribosomal RNA, 419 nt
Filed under: uncultured bacterium
Lineage: Bacteria
Description: bacterial SSU rRNA
Rfam family: Bacterial small subunit ribosomal RNA
Source: RNAcentral
GGAAUAUUGGUCAAUGGGCGCAAGCCUGAACCAGCCAAGUAGCGUGCAGGAAGACUGCCCUAUGGGUUGUAAACUGCUUUUAUACGGGGAUAAAGUCAGAGUCGUGACUCUGUUUGCAGGUACCGUAUGAAUAAGGACCGGCUAAUUCCGUGCCAGCAGCCGCGGUAAUACGGAAGGUCCGGGCGUUAUCCGGAUUUAUUGGGUUUAAAGGGAGCGCAGGCUGAAGAUUAAGCGUGACGUGAAAUGUCCCGGCUCAACCGUGGAACUGCGUCGCGAACUGGUUUUCUUGAGUGAGUACGACGUCAGCGGAAUUUGUGGUGUAGCGGUGAAAUGCUUAGAUAUCACGAAGAACCCCGAUUGCGAAGGCAGCUGACGAGUCCUUAACUGACGCUAAUGCUCGAAAGUGCGGGUAUCGAACA